RNAcentral lists this ribosomal RNA (559 nucleotides) under uncultured bacterium. RNAcentral's name for it is "bacterial SSU rRNA". It matches the Rfam family "Bacterial small subunit ribosomal RNA", at positions 119 to 674 of the family's 1533-position model. The record is from RNAcentral.
CGGAACGUGCCUAGUAGUGGGGGAUAACUACUCGAAAGAGUAGCUAAUACCGCAUGAGAUCUAAGGAUGAAAGCAGGGGACCUUCGGGCCUUGCGCUACUAGAGCGGCUGAUGGCAGAUUAGGUAGUUGGUGGGAUAAAAGCUUACCAAGCCGACGAUCUGUAGCUGGUCUGAGAGGACGACCAGCCACACUGGGACUGAGACACGGCCCAGACUCCUACGGGAGGCAGCAGUGGGGAAUUUUGGACAAUGGGCGAAAGCCUGAUCCAGCAAUGCCGCGUGUAGGAUGAAGGCCCUCGGGUUGUAAACUACUUUUGUACGGAACGAAAAGCUCUCUUCUAAUAAAGGAGAGUGAUGACGGUACCGUAAGAAUAAGCACCGGCUAACUACGUGCCAGCAGCCGCGGUAAUACGUAGGGUGCGAGCGUUAAUCGGAAUUACUGGGCGUAAAGCGUGCGCAGGCGGUUAUGUAAGACAGAGGUGAAAUCCCCGGGCUCAACCUGGGAACGGCCUUUGUGACUGCAUAGCUAGAGUACGGUAGAGGGGGAUGGAAUUCCGCGU